This 210-nucleotide ribosomal RNA is filed under the name uncultured bacterium. RNAcentral describes it as "partial 16S ribosomal RNA". It matches the Rfam family "Bacterial small subunit ribosomal RNA", at positions 524 to 732 of the family's 1533-position model. The record is from RNAcentral.
UACGUAGGGUGCGAGCGUUGUCCGGAAUUAUUGGGCGUAAAGAGCUCGUAGGCGGCCUGUUGCGUCCGCUGUGAAAUCCCAGGGCUCAACCCUGGGCGUGCAGUGGAUACGGGCAGGCUGGAGGCAGGCAGGGGAGAACGGAAUUCCCGGUGGUAGCGGUGAAAUGCGCAGAUAUCGGGAGGAACACCGGUGGCGAAGGCGGUUCUCUGG